This 281-nucleotide ribosomal RNA is filed under the name uncultured Acidovorax sp. Its description in RNAcentral is "partial 16S ribosomal RNA". It matches the Rfam family "Bacterial small subunit ribosomal RNA", at positions 1099 to 1382 of the family's 1533-position model. Lineage: Bacteria; Pseudomonadati; Pseudomonadota; Betaproteobacteria; Burkholderiales; Comamonadaceae. The record is from RNAcentral.
CAACCCUUGUCAUUAGUUGCUACAUUCAGUUGGCACUCUAAUGAGACUGCCGGUGACAAACCGGAGGAAGGUGGGGAUGACGUCAAGUCCUCAUGGCCCUUAUAGGUGGGGCUACACACGUCAUACAAUGGAUGGUACAAAGGGUCGCCAACCCGCGAGGGGGAAGCCAAUCCCAUAAAGCCAUUCGUAGUCCGGAUCGCAGUCUGCAACUCGACUGCGUGAAGUCGGAAUCGCUAGUAAUCGUGGAUCAGAAUGUCACGGUGAAUACGUUCCCGGGUCUU